GAUGAACGCUGGCGGCGUGCUUAAGACAUGCAAGUCGAACGGAGUGUGUAGCAAUACUCACUAAGUGGCGAAUGGGUGAGUAACACGUAGGUGACCUGCCCUGAAGUGCGGAAUAACAGUCCGAAAGGACUGCUAAUACCGCAUGUGGUCCCGGGCGUUAGAGAACCGGGUCUAAAGCAGUAAUGCGCUUCAGGAGGGGCCUGCGGUCCAUCAGCUAGUUGGUAGGGAAUGGCCUACCAAGGCAACGACGGAUAGGGGACCUGAGAGGGUGG
This 272-nucleotide ribosomal RNA is filed under the name uncultured bacterium. RNAcentral's name for it is "partial 16S ribosomal RNA". It matches the Rfam family "Bacterial small subunit ribosomal RNA", at positions 28 to 303 of the family's 1533-position model. The record is from RNAcentral.